UCUGUUUGAAAAAAAUAUUCAGUCUGGCCUGCCCACUGAGUAGUUUAAAGGGCCGCGGUAUUUGAACCGUGCUAAGGUAGCAUAAUAAAUAGUCUUUUAAUUGAGGUCUAGUAUGAAUGGUCGGAUAGAAAGUGAGCUGUUUUGUUUAUAGAGUUUGAAUUUUACCUUUAAGUGAAAAGGCUUAAAUUAUAUGGUGGGACGAUAAGACCCUAUAAAGCUUUACAUUUUAGCUGUUAGUUAAGGAGAUUAUGGUUUUCUGUUAUUGUCAGCUGGUGUGUUUCGUUGGGGCGACGGAAAUAUAAAAAGUAACUGUUUUUAUUGAAAAAUAAAAAUUUUUAGGAGAUCUGAUCCUUUAUAGAGAUUACAAGAAUAAAGUUACUUUAGGGAUAACAGCGUGAUUUUUCUUGAGAGUCCAUAUCGACAGAAAUAGUUGCGACCUCGAUGUUGAAUUAAGGUAACCCCAAGGUGUAGCAGUUUUGGUGGUAGGUCUGUUCGACCUUUAAAAU
Molecule: ribosomal RNA, 506 nt
Filed under: Caridina rapaensis
Lineage: Eukaryota; Metazoa; Arthropoda; Malacostraca; Decapoda; Atyidae
Description: partial 16S ribosomal RNA
Rfam family: Bacterial large subunit ribosomal RNA
Source: RNAcentral